UACGUAGGUGACAAGCGUUGUCCGGAUUUACUGGGCGUAAAGAGCGCGCAGGCGGUCGUUCAAGUCGAGUGUGAAAGCCCCCGGCUCAACUGGGGAGGGUCACUCGAUACUGAUCGACUCGAAGGCAGGAGAGGGAAGUGGAAUUCCCGGUGUAGUGGUGAAAUGCGUAGAUAUCAAGAGGAACACCAGUGGCGAAGGCGAGUCCCUGGACAACUUCUGACGCUGAGGCACGAAAGCUAGGGGAGCAAACAGG
RNAcentral lists this ribosomal RNA (253 nucleotides) under uncultured bacterium. RNAcentral's name for it is "partial 16S ribosomal RNA". It matches the Rfam family "Bacterial small subunit ribosomal RNA", at positions 524 to 776 of the family's 1533-position model. The record is from RNAcentral.